GGCGAACGCUGGCGGCACGCCUCAUACAUGCAAGUCGAGCGAUCGGACGCUGGGUGCUUGCACCCGGCGUUACGGAGCGGCGAACGGGUGAGUAACACGUGGGCAACCUGCCUCGAAGACCGGGAUAACCCCGGGAAACUGGGGCUAAUACCGGAUGUGCUCGUUGGAUCGCAUGGUCCGGCGAGGAAAUGGUCCUUCCGCUUCGAGAGGGGCCCGCGGCCUAUCAGCUUGUUGGUGGGGUAACGGCCUACCAAGGCGAUGACGGGUAGCCGGCCUG
This 277-nucleotide ribosomal RNA is filed under the name uncultured bacterium. Its description in RNAcentral is "partial 16S ribosomal RNA". It matches the Rfam family "Bacterial small subunit ribosomal RNA", at positions 28 to 294 of the family's 1533-position model. The record is from RNAcentral.